GGGAAGAGCCUCUGCCGCCCGCGGGGAGCGGGCAGCGCCUACCGGUGUGCGCAAUGGGAAGGUAUGAGCGGAGCAGCGCGCGGAGCCGGCUGGCAGGGCAACCAGAAGGGCUGGGGACCUUGGUAAAGGCAUGAGGAGAAGUGUUAAGGACAUGUUUGUUUAACAAAACAGCUGAUCAAGGACACUGCUUACCCUGGAAGUCCGGAGUUCCCAGUGCUGAAGAUAAAGGAAGUCAAGAAUUGGUCUUCCCAGUAAGACAGGUGGAGGACUGAGCUCAUUUGGCUUGCUGUUUUUAUCUCUGUGCUGAAAGACAAGGACAUACCUGCCUUGCCUGGAGCUUCUGGUUACAGCUGUGUGCUGGCCUUACAACAGGCUGGCCUUAAAGACAGACCAGGUCCUAAGGGCAAACCAAAAGGAGGUAGGCAAGAGACAGUAAGAAGCAAACACUUUACCUUGUGAAGUUAAGAUUUAGGUCUGGAAAUAGAUCCCCUACCCCCAGGGCUCUCUCUGGUCCCCUGCUGGUCCUCUCUUCCUGCUUCUCCCUCAGAUCACCUUCCUAGAUCCUGCCACUCCAGAGUGACUCCUAAAGACUGGAAAGGGAAAGAGGAGUUAGCAGAGAUGGAAGUGGAGGUCCAACCCCAGCCUUGAACUGACUGUGACCCAUACAGAGCUGCCAGACAGUGAGGCAGAACCUCUCCUGCCUGGGCUCCUCUGCCCCAGCGCCAAAUGGCUUCGUAUGCUUAUGCCUCAAAUGGAGCUGCAUCUGAAUGCUAUGUCUGCCGCUCACUAUGUACAGAUGACUGGAAAACUGCAGAAGAGCAGGCAAGUCACCCAGAACUCUGCACAGAGAUGAAGACAGUUCGAAAUAUUGAUACUUCAAUUUCCCAUCUGUCGUUUUUCAUUCUGUUGAUUUUGCAUUUAGCUCAGGCUUGACUCAAACUCUGCAGCCAUGGAUUACUCAAAGCCAUUUGAAUUCCCAGUUUAGAGAAUCCCUGGUGGAUGGUCCACUGUUUCCAGAAGCACAGGGAACAUCUGUGAAGAGAGUCACGAGCAUCUUUGGCUAUGGUGCUGUGCCAGUCUGAUCCUGCAAGGCUUGCUUUCAGAAUGCAGGCCAGCGCACGAGCUUGGACCAGCAGGCAGCAGAGGUUCAUAACAAGAAACACCUUAUCCCUACAGGAAAUCCCACAACCUUUAGCAAUGACUAUUCAUUGCCAUUUGAUAAGUAGUACCCCCCUGUGCGCCAGGGGCUAGAGAGUGCAAAUUUGAACAAAUUAAGACCACAGACUGCGUUUUAAUAAGGACAAGGAAGGCACAUCUGAAGAGUUCCCGUCUGGAGGAAGAAUGCACUUUCCUGGUUAGGAGAAGCAGCGGGACACAGGGGCCAGACCGCUCAGGGCUUUGAGGAGAUGCUGAAGUUAACCAGAAAUGCUUUGUGUUGCCGUUCCUGUUGAAACGUUUCUGAGAUUGCUUCUACAUGCUGCAGGAGGUUUUGAAAUGCUGCACUAGAUCUCUUAAGAACAGAUGUAUUCAAGCAACUGUCCAGACCAACUGACAGAGGAGAGUCAGGCAUCCUGAAAGGGGCUGGGAAGUUUAUGAAGAUGGGUUAGACUUAGUCUGCACAGCCUGGGGAUCCUGGAUGAGAACUGACUUAUGACAAUAUCAGCAAAAGAAAAAAAAAAUAAAUCCACAGUGUUAUAGCUACAGAACAGUGAUGGGAGUGACGGCCCAGGGGCAUGGACCAAAUCAAGCAUCGUGCUUGAGCUCUUAGACAAGCUUGGACUGCAAGCUCUUGCACUUCCUACGGUCAGGUCCGUACAGCUGUUCUACGUAAGCAUAAAUGUAUUUAUGCAAGUGUAAUGUAUCAUCAUCAGUCAGGCUGGAACAUCUGCAGUGCUCCAGUGUGUGACCCUUUUUCUCCGAGUUGUAACCACACCAUCCUUAGCAAGUUAGCCUUUUGGCUUAGAAAUUUAGACAGCUUUCCGGUGAUAGGUUAUUAGAGAGGGGUGCAAUUUUAAAGACAAAACUAGAAAUGCCAUGAUCACUUCACUUGGCUUUCUUUGUGUCUGUCUUAAUCUCAACCUUGGAAAACACUAAAGUCCGUGGAGGAAGUGGAACAGACUGGCUCAGAACACCAGAGAAGCAGGCUCACUUCUGAUCAGGAGUAUCCCAUCACCGUGGAUAAGUCAUUCAGGUUUCCUGCAUUUCUGUGAAGUGUGGAAAUAGCUGGAAAGGUAGAGGGCUACUCAUCAUCAAAGAUGCUUCCAUGUCCUUUUAAUAUUUCUGUUACAUAUUAAACCAUGUUUCACAUGC
RNAcentral lists this long non-coding RNA (2310 nucleotides) under Mus musculus (house mouse). RNAcentral describes it as "RIKEN cDNA B230323A14 gene". Lineage: Eukaryota; Metazoa; Chordata; Mammalia; Rodentia; Muridae. The record is from RNAcentral.